RNAcentral lists this ribosomal RNA (621 nucleotides) under Acarospora badiofusca. Its description in RNAcentral is "partial large subunit ribosomal RNA". It matches the Rfam family "Eukaryotic large subunit ribosomal RNA", at positions 32 to 668 of the family's 3401-position model. Lineage: Eukaryota; Fungi; Ascomycota; Lecanoromycetes; Acarosporales; Acarosporaceae. The record is from RNAcentral.
ACUUAAGCAUAUCAAUAAGCGGAGGAAAAGAAACCAACAGGGAUUGCCUCAGUAACGGCGAGUGAAGCGGCAACAGCUCAAAUUUGAAAUCUGGCUCUUUCAGGGUCCGAGUUGUAAUUUGUAGAGGAUGCUUCGGGUACGGCUCCGGUCUAAGUUCCUUGGAACAGGACGUCACAGAGGGUGAGAAUCCCGUACGUGACCGGCCUCCACGCCCGUGUGAAGCUCCUUCGACGAGUCGAGUUGUUUGGGAAUGCAGCUCAAAAUGGGUGGUAAAUUUCAUCUAAAGCUAAAUAUUGGCCAGAGACCGAUAGCGCACAAGUAGAGUGAUCGAAAGAUGAAAAGCACUUUGGAAAGAGAGUCAAACAGUACGUGAAAUUGUUGAAAGGGAAGCGCUUGCAACCAGACUUGCCUGCGGGUGAUCAGCUGGUAUUUUUACCGGUGCACUCGCCCGUGGUCAGGCCAGCAUCGGUUUGGGCGGCUGGAUAAAGUCCCCCGGAAUGUAGCUCCUUUCGGGGAGUGUUAUAGCCGGGGGUGCAAUGCUGCCCGCCUGGACCGAGGACCGCGCUUCGGCUUGGAUGCUGGCGUAAUGGUUGUAAGCGACCCGUCUUGAAACACGGACCA